GACGAACGCUGGCGGCGUGCUUAACACAUGCAAGUCGAACGGUAAGGCCCUUCGGGGUACACGAGUGGCGAACGGGUGAGUAACACGUGGGUGAUCUGCCCUGCACUUCGGGAUAAGCCUGGGAAACUGGGUCUAAUACCGGAUAGGACCACUGCCUGCAUGGGUGGUGGUGGAAAGCUUUUGCGGUGUGGGUUGGGCCCGCGGCCUAUCAGUUUGUUGGUGGGGUGAUGGCCUACCAAGGCGACGACGGGUAGCCAGCCUGGGCGGGUGACCGGCCACACUGGGACUGAGAUACGGCCCAGACUCCUACGGGAGGCAGAGGUGGGGAAUAUUGCACAAUGGGCGCAAGCCUGAUGCAGCGACGCCGCGUGAGGGAUGACGGCCUUCGGGUUGUAAACCUCUUUCAGCACCGACGAAGCGCAAGUGACGGUAGGUGCAGAAGAAGGACCGGCCAACUACGUGCCAGCAGCCGCCGUAA
Molecule: ribosomal RNA, 478 nt
Filed under: uncultured bacterium
Lineage: Bacteria
Description: partial 16S ribosomal RNA
Rfam family: Bacterial small subunit ribosomal RNA
Source: RNAcentral